This 465-nucleotide ribosomal RNA is filed under the name Vreelandella stevensii. RNAcentral's name for it is "partial 16S ribosomal RNA". It matches the Rfam family "Bacterial small subunit ribosomal RNA", at positions 338 to 795 of the family's 1533-position model. Lineage: Bacteria; Pseudomonadati; Pseudomonadota; Gammaproteobacteria; Oceanospirillales; Halomonadaceae. The record is from RNAcentral.
CCUACGGGAGGCAGCAGUGGGGAAUAUUGGACAAUGGGCGAAAGCCUGAUCCAGCCAUGCCGCGUGUGUGAAGAAGGCCUUCGGGUUGUAAAGCACUUUCAGUGGGGAAGAAAGCCUUGGGGCUAAUACCCUCGAGGAAGGACAUCACCCACAGAAGAAGCACCGGCUAACUCCGUGCCAGCAGCCGCGGUAAUACGGAGGGUGCGAGCGUUAAUCGGAAUUACUGGGCGUAAAGCGCGCGUAGGCGGUCUGAUAAGCCGGUUGUGAAAGCCCCGGGCUCAACCUGGGAACGGCAUCCGGAACUGGCAGGCUAGAGUGCAGGAGAGGAAGGUAGAAUUCCCGGUGUAGCGGUGAAAUGCGUAGAGAUCGGGAGGAAUACCAGUGGCGAAGGCGGCCUUCUGGACUGACACUGACGCUGAGGUGCGAAAGCGUGGGUAGCAAACAGGAUUAGAUACCCUAGUAGUC